UGGGGAAUCUUGCGCAAUGCGCGAAAGCGUGACGCAGCAACGCCGCGUGGGUGAAGAAGGCCUUCGGGUCGUAAAGCCCUUUCAGUUGGGACGAAGCCUCGGUGGUUAACAGCCGCUCGAGGUGACGGUACCUUCAGAAGAAGCCCCGGCUAACUACGUGCCAGCAGCCGCGGUAAUACGUAGGGGGCAAGCGUUGUCCGGAAUCAUUGGGCGUAAAGAGCGCGUAGGCGGUCCGGUAAGUCCGCUGUGAAAGUCAAGGGCUCAACCCUUGAAUGCCGGUGGAUACUGUCGGGCUAGAGUCCGGAAGAGGCGAGUGGAAUUCCUGGUGUAGCGGUGAAAUGCGCAGAUAUCAGGAGGAACACCUAUGGCGAAGGCAGCUCGCUGGGACGGUACUGACGCUGAGGCGCGAAAGCGUGGGGAGCAAACAG
RNAcentral lists this ribosomal RNA (428 nucleotides) under uncultured bacterium. RNAcentral describes it as "bacterial SSU rRNA". It matches the Rfam family "Bacterial small subunit ribosomal RNA", at positions 355 to 775 of the family's 1533-position model. The record is from RNAcentral.